GAGGUAGGCAAGCUUCUAUGUAAACUGC
Molecule: non-coding RNA, 28 nt
Filed under: Homo sapiens (human)
Lineage: Eukaryota; Metazoa; Chordata; Mammalia; Primates; Hominidae
Source: RNAcentral